Molecule: long non-coding RNA, 1248 nt
Filed under: Equus caballus (horse)
Lineage: Eukaryota; Metazoa; Chordata; Mammalia; Perissodactyla; Equidae
Description: lncRNA (ENSECAG00000046160.1)
Source: RNAcentral
UUGCCUGCAGAUCAAACCUGCCUAAAUGAACUGAAAAACUUCAUUUAGAACUUCGUAAACAAAAAAGUCAAUAUUUGGAAAUAUGCUAUUUGUUGAGCUAUUAUGGGUUUAAUAAUUGUUAAUAAAAAUAAUAACACUGGGAUUUAGAUAUAUCUUUAAAAUUUUUAUUAUUUAGUCAAAAAGUGUUUUAAAAUUAACUUUUCUAUUUUAAUCUCUGAAUUACGUUUUCCCGGCAGGUGGGCAUGCCCCAGUUGCUAAAUUACCAGUUAUUAGGGUCUCUUGCCAAUUAGAUAUUUCUAAAUGUGGGAUAUUUUUACAAACCACUAAGGGGUGAGCCGUUAGACCAGAGCUGCCCAUGUCUUCAUGAAAUGAGUAUCACUGGCUCCACCACACUGAGAGCACAAGCAACAUCAAGUCUAUUUCCUUUUUCCCAAUAGAAAUUAAAAUUGCUGAAAUCCCCCCAUGUCUGAUCAGAAGAAAAUCCUACGAUACUCUCUUGGAGCUCCUUCAAUCCCUUUGCUCAUCCCCAAACUGUGGUGGCUUCUCAUCCAACAAAGAAGUCCAUCCACUUUCUCUUCUACCCGGGGGAGAACUUUAUGUGUCUUAAGGCCUGCUGUUGUCUGGUGGUCACUGUUCCUUGUUGCCACACCCUGUCCCUCUUGUGUGUCCAACUGACUGUCCAGAGCUGCAGGGAAGUCACUCUCAACCAAUGGCUGCCACAGGUCAUCCUGAGCUUUCAAAGGAGGUCACAUCUGUGGGUGACUCCACUUCACCCAGGGUGCCUUCUCAGGGUUCCCUGGACAUCACUCAGUGCCCAAGCAGCUAAGUUCUCCUGUCCAGAGAUGCUGUGCUUGAUCUGAUUAGAGGGUCAGCCCAUCAAAGAAUAUGCAACUACUGUCACUCUUUCCAGUCUCAGAAAUUCAAGAAGGCUGGGGGAGGCGUUGGCCAGCCUCCUUUCUUUCCCAACUCUCAAGACACGGCGUGCUCAUCCCACAGCCUUCAUCAGAAAACAGAGCUUGCUUGCCUUUGAGAAGGGCCCACAUUAUUUUUAAUGGGAAAUACUUUCUCUGCUUCCAUGAUCAGUCAUCUUAAGAGCCUAGGAUAAUCCAAGGAAAUCUCUGGCAUCUAUCUUGCUAAAGCAACAAAUAAAUAACCACCACUACUACCACCAACAACACAAUUCAAAACAGAGUUAAAUCUCAGUGGGUCACCCCCCACCUUUAUACCAUUAUGUAGCAUAAGAACCUU